RNAcentral lists this ribosomal RNA (388 nucleotides) under uncultured bacterium. RNAcentral's name for it is "bacterial SSU rRNA". It matches the Rfam family "Bacterial small subunit ribosomal RNA", at positions 29 to 416 of the family's 1533-position model. The record is from RNAcentral.
AUUGAACGCUGGCGGCAUGCCUUACACAUGCAAGUCGAACGGCAGCACGGGAGCAAUCCUGGUGGCGAGUGGCGAACGGGUGAGUAAUAUAUCGGAACGUGCCCAGUCGUGGGGGAUAACGUAGCGAAAGCUACGCUAAUACCGCAUACGAUCUAUGGAUGAAAGCGGGGGAUCGCAAGACCUCGCGCGAUUGGAGCGGCCGAUAUCAGAUUAGGUAGUUGGUGAGGUAAAGGCUCACCAAGCCGACGAUCUGUAGCUGGUCUGAGAGGACGACCAGCCACACUGGGACUGAGACACGGCCCAGACUCCUACGGGAGGCAGCAGUGGGGGAAUUUUGGACGAAUGGGCGCAAGCCUGAUCCAGCAAUGCCGCGUGCAGGAUGAAGGCC